GGAGAGGUGGCUGAGCGGUCGAAAGCGGCGGUCUUGAAAACCGUUGAGGGUUUAUCCCCUCCGUGGGUUCGAAUCCCACUCUCUCCGCCA
This 90-nucleotide transfer RNA is filed under the name Thiocapsa marina. It matches the Rfam family "tRNA". From Rfam's summary of the family: Transfer RNA (tRNA) molecules are approximately 80 nucleotides in length. Their secondary structure includes four short double-helical elements and three loops (D, anti-codon, and T loops). The record is from RNAcentral. RNAcentral also lists the same sequence under 1 other name. Lineage: Bacteria; Pseudomonadati; Pseudomonadota; Gammaproteobacteria; Chromatiales; Chromatiaceae.